UACGUAGGGGGCAAGCGUUGUCCGGAUUUAUUGGGCGUAAAGAGCGUGUAGGCGGCUUUACAGGUCCGUUGUGAAAACUCGAGGCUCAACCUCGAGACGCCGGUGGAAACCGUAAAGCUAGAGUCCGGAAGAGGAGAGUGGAAUUCCUGGUGUAGCGGUGAAAUGCGCAGAUAUCGAGAGGAACACCGGUGGCGAAGGCGAGUCCCUGGACAACACCUGACACUGAGGCACGAAAGCUAGGGGAGCAAACAGG
This 253-nucleotide ribosomal RNA is filed under the name uncultured bacterium. Its description in RNAcentral is "partial 16S ribosomal RNA". It matches the Rfam family "Bacterial small subunit ribosomal RNA", at positions 524 to 776 of the family's 1533-position model. The record is from RNAcentral.